CAACAGGCAGUUUUAAUGAAUGCCUGAAGGCAGACCUUCAGGCCAUUUCAGGCCGAGGCCUAAAAUGGCAUCAGCCCCAAAUGAGGACGGGCAGGGGUUUUACAGUCUCCCGUAAACAGGAAGUGUUUCAGUCUGUGUAUCUACUGCUACGUGAUACCCGGUAGGCCUCUCUCUGGGUCUUCAGAACAGCUCUCUCCCCGCUUCUGCUAUCUUGCUGACGCACGCUGAUGACGUAAGCCGCCUUGCGCCUUGGGACUGGGCCUGAGAAGGGAGGAGUUAUUCAGGCCUCCGCCAGCUUCUAGGCCCUGGGGAUGGUCUUUCACCUCCCUCUUUCUGAUCUCUUUUUCAUGCUCCUCCUUGCUCCAAAGAAAAGCCGGAUGGCAAAAGAGCCCAGAACCUAUUGGAACUGACAAAAUCAAGUCACGGCGCCUACAAAGAUGAGGGGCAGAUUCUGGCUGCCUUUUAAUUUCGUCCUUCACCUGAUAUCUGUGCCAGAGAAUGUGGCAUGGUUCAGUCUUCCAGGAGUUCUGCUACAGAGAAGAGAGUAACCCCCAUCCAUCAUGGCCAAAGCACCCAGUCAGGCUCCGCUCUGGAUCCAGCCCGACAAAUGCAACCCUUGAAUAGGGUUUGUGCAAGCAAACUGGAUGACGACCGAAGAAACCCUGUCGCUUCUGAGAAGACACCCAAUCCAAGAAUAUACAGUCGAAUGUAAUUUGGAAUUUACGAGUCUUAUCACAUUCUCAUUCUGCUUGAGCAAUUCAAGAUAUAAGAAAAACAGACUGUCUACAUUUCUUCAGAGUUCCUCCAACUAUUGGCUUAAAAUUCCUGAAAUUAAAAUUAUAGUUCUUUGACA
RNAcentral lists this long non-coding RNA (853 nucleotides) under Homo sapiens (human). RNAcentral's name for it is "HSALNT0356670". Lineage: Eukaryota; Metazoa; Chordata; Mammalia; Primates; Hominidae. The record is from RNAcentral.